Molecule: ribosomal RNA, 408 nt
Filed under: uncultured bacterium
Lineage: Bacteria
Description: partial 16S ribosomal RNA
Rfam family: Bacterial small subunit ribosomal RNA
Source: RNAcentral
GACGAACGCUGGCGGCGUGCUUAACACAUGCAAGUCGAACGAAGUGGCGAACGGGUGAGUAACGCGUAAUCAACCUGCCCUUCAGGGGGGGACCACAGUUGGAAACGACUGCUAAUACCGCAUACUGAAGGCGGGGAUGGCGUCGGAUUAGCUAGUUGGGGGGGGAACGGCCCCCCAAGGCGAUGAUCAGUAGCCGGGCUUGGAGGAUGAACGGCCACAUUGGGACUGAGACACGGCCCAGACUCCUACGGGAGGCAGCAGGGGGGAAUCUUCGGCAAUGGACGAAAGUCUUACGGAGCAACGCCGCGUGAGUGAUGACGGCCUUCGGGUUUUAAAGCUCUGUUAAUCGGGACGCGGUACCGGAAUAGAAAGCCACGGCUAACUACGUGCCAGCAGCCGCGGUAAUUC